Symphalangus syndactylus (siamang) is the source of this 1384-nucleotide long non-coding RNA. RefSeq lists it as uncharacterized. Lineage: Eukaryota; Metazoa; Chordata; Mammalia; Primates; Hylobatidae. The record is from RefSeq and is a predicted model, not a curated record.
GGCCGAGGCUGGAAAGAUGUCCCCUCCAUCAGAAUGGGCCGGAGUUCCGGGAACCAGGCUGCAGCCACAUCUGUGAGCCUUCAGCUCGGCUCAGGCUCAACGUGUCUCUGGGUGAAGAGACUUCUCAGAUUUCAGGAGUCCUGCAAGGCUUUGGAAUGCUUGCCACUGAGGAAUUUGAACAUUAAAGGGUUCAAAGGUGGUUAGAAAAUCCAGUCCUCAAAUUGUUGAAAGAAAAACAUGUCUUCUUGGUCUUACUUUUACGACUUGAACAUGAGGAUCAGCGGUACUAAGGAUUCAGGGGUGUCUCAACCUUUACCUACCUAGCAAGCUCUUUCUUCUAAGAAAGUCAGUAUUCUGCUGUAUUCUCUUAAUUUUUACAAGCUGGGGAAGGAGGACGAGUAGUUAUUUUAUCUGGACACACAGAGCUGUUUUAGUGAUAUUCAUAAUGGAACAUUGUAAAUCUGAAGAGUCAAGGUUCAAAUAUGGGUCUCUUAGCAUUUGACAUAUUUUUAUUUUGGGUCCAGACGAAGCACAUUUUUAAUAGGCAGGACAACACUUCCUGCCUUCAAUCAGAGAUAAUACCAGACUGAGAUGAUAUUCAGAGACAGCAAGUUGCAUUUCAACUGAAGAUAAAUAUGUCCCCAUGAAAUUUCACCCAUUCUGGCUUUAAAACAUGUCAUGUCCAAGGUCAAUUAAUUGUACUUGCAACUUACAGCCAAUCAGAAGGAUGAGCUAGCAUCAAGAUUCUUUUGCAAAAUGAAAAUUUAUCUUUAAUCAGUGUUUUCUUUUUCUUUUCUGGGCUGUUUCUCACUUGCAAAAAAAGUAUAUGCAUUAUUCAAAAAUUAGAAAAAACGAAGAAUGGAUUAGCAGUGGGACAUGACAAUGUACCAAGACAUUUAAAAUAAGUUAUUCCUAAAUGGAUUCAUGCCAAAUGAAGAAGCUUUCCACAGCAUCUGCGACCUUGAAAUUUAGCCUGAGAUUCUGCUUCAGAAAAAAAUGGCUGAGCUUCCUGAUUGAGCAAGCCUUAGACUAGUGCCUUCCACUGAGUUAUUUUUUUUAUUUUUGAGGACCUUUCUGGAAGGUAUGUAAGAAGAAUAAGGUAUAGAUCCUGUCUUCAAAGAGAUCACAGCCCAGGGGGAAUAUGAGCCCCAAGUGCAUGAGUGUGCUGCAUAAUUUUCUCAGCUUUCUCAGACUGAUCAUUUAUAAAAUUGGAACGAAAAUAUUUCUCAUAUCUUCCUCCCUGGCUACUUUGAGAAUCAAGAGAGAGGGAGGCGGGAAGGAGGGAGGGAAGGAGGGAAGGGGAGAGAGAGAAAGAGACUAUGAGAAUGAGAAUGGUUGGGAGGAAUUUUGAAGACUUGUAAAUUAUUAAAAGGCUCUCUCUAUA